RNAcentral lists this small nuclear RNA (199 nucleotides) under Leptobrachium leishanense (Leishan spiny toad). RNAcentral's name for it is "U2 spliceosomal RNA (ENSLLEG00000006236.1)". It matches the Rfam family "U2 spliceosomal RNA". From Rfam's summary of the family: U2 is a small nuclear RNA (snRNA) component of the spliceosome (involved in pre-mRNA splicing). Complementary binding between U2 snRNA (in an area lying towards the 5' end but 3' to hairpin I) and the branchpoint sequence (BPS) of the intron results the bulging out of an unpaired adenosine, on the BPS, which initiates a nucleophilic attack at the intronic 5' splice site, thus starting the first of two transesterification reactions that mediate splicing. Lineage: Eukaryota; Metazoa; Chordata; Amphibia; Anura; Megophryidae. The record is from Rfam by way of RNAcentral.
AUCGCUUCUCGGCCUUUUGCCUAAGUUCAAGUGUCAAGUUCAAGUAUCUGUUCUUGUCAGUUUAAUAUCUGAUACGCCCCCUAUCUGGGGGCCAUAUGUUAAAUGGAUUUUUAGAACAGGGAGAUGGAGGAAGAGCUUGCUCUGUCCACUCCACGCAUUGACCUGGUAUUGCAGUACCUCCAGGACCAGUGCACAAAAA